Long non-coding RNA from Haliotis rubra (blacklip abalone), 532 nucleotides. RefSeq lists it as uncharacterized. NCBI's taxonomy places the organism in Eukaryota, Metazoa, Mollusca, Gastropoda, Lepetellida, Haliotidae. The transcript is spliced from 2 exons. The record is from RefSeq and is a predicted model, not a curated record.
AACGAAGUGAAAAUGUCUUGUCUGGAUUUCGAAAAGACGACUUGUCCCUCUGUUUAUGAAGGAAUAUUGCUUAAAGACGGUUUUCCAUACUUAAAGCUACACACCAUAGCAAGUUUGGGCACUUUAGGUAUUUAUGCACCAAAAAAUAGUGCCCGAUACUUAUAUCAGAUGGCAAUUGAACUGACCAAGGUGUCUUGGACUCUUUUUGCUUAAUUAAUUCAUUCUUGCUUCAAAAUGCAAACAGACGACAUUAUAUGAUACCCUUGUGUUACACGUUCAAUUUGUGGAAAAAUAAUUUCAAAAAUUCAAAGACAAAAGUGGCUUUAUUUCUAUUUUAUGUUGUGAAAUCGAGGCUUUUGUCCUUGACACAGGGGAGACAAUCUCACAAGCAUAAAACGAAGUAAAAAUGUCUUGUCUGGAUUUCGAAAGACGACUUGUUCCUCUGUUUAUGAAGGAAUAUUGCUUAAAGACGGUUUUCAAUGCUUAAAGCUACACACCAUAGGAAGAUUGGGCACUUUAGGUAUUUAUGCAC